CCGCAGGAGGAAGAUGUCUAACACGCGCUGACCGCCAGGGGGGCGGAGUCACACAGGCUGACCGCCAGAGGGGAGGAGUCACACACGCUGGUCGCUGCGGUUCGAGGCGGAGGCUCCUCCAUCACUCCAACCUGUGGAGAUCAAAACGAACUUUAUCAAUAAGUCGGCUGCUACCAUCUGAUUUAUGUCCUAAUCAUUUCAUGUUUCUUUGAAUCUGUGUGUGUGUGUGUGUGUCUGUGUGUGUGUGUGUGUCUGAGUGUGUGUGUGUGUGAGUGUGUGUCUGAGUGUGUCUGUAAUUAAUAAACUGAAAUGAUGUGCGUGGUUUCAGGUUGGACAGAUUUUAAGUUAUUGAAGAUACUCAAAGAAAAUGACAUCACAAUGAGCAGAAAUCCCAACGGAGAGUUCAGGGUUAGAGAGAUAAGGCUCAGUGAUUUUGGUUAAUGUGGUGAUGUCUCAGGGUGUCUGGGAGGACACACACAC
This is a long non-coding RNA of Sander lucioperca (pikeperch), 480 nucleotides long. RefSeq lists it as uncharacterized. NCBI's taxonomy places the organism in Eukaryota, Metazoa, Chordata, Actinopteri, Perciformes, Percidae. The transcript has 3 exons. The record is from RefSeq and is a predicted model, not a curated record.